CUCAAAUUUGAAAUCUGGUCCCCUUGCGGGGCCCGAGUUGUAAUUUGAAGAGGAUGCUUCUGGCAAGGUGCCUUCCGAGUUCCCUGGAACGGGACGCCGCAGAGGGUGAGAGCCCCGUACGGUAGGACGCCGAGCCUCUGUGAAGCUCCUUCGACGAGUCGAGUAGUUUGGGAAUGCUGCUCAAAAUGGGAGGUAAACCCCUUCUAAAGCUAAAUACCGGCCAGAGACCGAUAGCGCACAAGUAGAGUGAUCGAAAGAUGAAAAGCACUUUGAAAAGAGAGUUAAAAAGCACGUGAAAUUGUUGAAAGGGAAGCGCUUGCGACCAGACUCGCGCCCGUCGGAUCAGCCGUCGCUUGUCGGCGGCGCACUCCGGCGGGCUCGGGCCAGCAUCAGUUCGCCUGGGGGGAGAAAGGCGGCAGGAAUGUGGCUCCUCGGAGUGUUAUAGCCUGCCGUGUAAUACCUCCGGGCGGACUGAGGACCGCGCGUAUGCAAGGAUGCUGGCGUAAUGGUCGUCAGCGACCCGUCUUGAAACACGGACCAAGGAGUCGUCCUAAUAUGCGAGUGUACGGGUGUCAAACCCCUGCGCGUAAUGAAAGUGAACGGAGGUGAGAGCUUCGGCGCAUCAUCGACCGAUCCUGAUGUUCUCGGAUGGAUUUGAGUAAGAGCAUAUUGGGCCGGACCCGAAAGAAGGUGAACUAUGCCUGUGUAGGGUAAAGCCAGAGGAAACUCUGGUGGAGGCUCGCAGCGGUUCUGACGUGCAAAUCGAUCGUCAAACAUGGGCAUGGGGGCGAAAGACUAAUCGAACCUUCUAGUAGCUGGUUUCUGCCGAAGUUUCCCUCAGGAUAGCAGUGUUGAAUCUCUCAGUUUUAUGAGGUAAAGCGAAUGAUUAGGGACUCGGGGGCGCUAUUUAGCCUUCAUCCAUUCUCAAACUUUAAAUAUGUAAGAAGCCCUUGUUACUUA
RNAcentral lists this ribosomal RNA (960 nucleotides) under Scopulariopsis brumptii. RNAcentral's name for it is "eukaryotic LSU rRNA". It matches the Rfam family "Eukaryotic large subunit ribosomal RNA", at positions 108 to 1093 of the family's 3401-position model. Lineage: Eukaryota; Fungi; Ascomycota; Sordariomycetes; Microascales; Microascaceae. The record is from RNAcentral.